Molecule: ribosomal RNA, 252 nt
Filed under: uncultured bacterium
Lineage: Bacteria
Description: partial 16S ribosomal RNA
Rfam family: Bacterial small subunit ribosomal RNA
Source: RNAcentral
UACGUAGGGAGCGAGCGUUAUCCGGAUUUAUUGGGUGUAAAGGGUGCGUAGGCGGUAAUACAGGUCUGUGGUAUAAGCCCGAAGCUUAACUUCGGUUCGCCACAGAAACCGUAUAACUAGAGUAUGGUAGAGGCAAGUGGAAUUUCUAGUGUAGCGGUAAAAUGCGUAGAUAUUAGAAGGAACACCAGUGGCGAAGGCGACUUGCUGGGCCAAAACUGACGCUGAGGCACGAAAGCGUGGGGAGCGAAUAGG